GUUUGCAUUUGAGAAAACACUUCUAGGCAGUGAGUGGAGAAUGAAAAGGAAAUACAAAGCCUGGAGAGAGGGAGACCAUGGGGAGGCUGCUACAGCAGUCACACAACCACAGCGAUGGCCUGCAUCAGGGCAGUGGCAGUAGGAACAGAUCUGAAGCCUUUGGAAGAGACAAGGAAACUGGAGCUCAGAGAGAUUCAAUGCCUUACCCAAAGUCACACAGCAGGUAUAGUAAGUGUGCCAGUGUACCUUAAACCCAGGUAAGCCUGACCCCAAAGGGAUCUUUCUGUGGCCCAGCUGCCUUCCCUGCUUAGUCCCACCUGUGCUCCAGCCUUUCCCUCCCAGAGCUGACACCACACUGACUGUCCUCACUGCCCCGGAGUCUGUUUUUGAGCUGAACCUCUUGCUGUGGGCAAGCUCUCCAGAACCCACGAGGAUCGCCCGUGGCCCUGAGCAGAUGGCUGGACAAGCUGAGCUGCCAUCUCCCCCACUGCAGAGUGCAGGCCUAUCUGCUGUCCAGUAUGAUAACCAGAACUGUCACUGGCCCCAUACCAGCCCAGGACAGUGGUAUUAGGAGCUCGUGUUUGAAUCAGGAAGCAGACAAGUGGACAAGCAGCAGGCAGCACAGAACGAAGGAAAGCCUGUGGGGACAAAAAGGAGGUGGCUGACCCCCUAAAGUCUCCUGAAUGCUGAGGACAAGUUAACCAGCAGGGAGUGUGGGAGCAGAGGAUGGGUGAAAACAAAAAGUAUGAGCACUGAAUAGUUACAAAAAGAAACAAAUGGACCAGAAAGGGUCAAUAGGAGCACAGAGAACGAAGGGCAGAUGGUGAGAGUGAGGCUGGGAAGAUCAGCAGGCCAUUCAGGCAAGGCCCCUUCCCUGUGGGGGGCACAGGUUGUCCUGGGAGGCAGAAAGCCUGGUUCUGCCCUGCCUGCCACUGCUGCCAUUAUUUACGGGACAUGUGGCCCUGGGAAGACUCCUUUCCUCUCUGGGCCUCCGUCUUCUCAUCUGCAGACGGACAGCCUCGCCCGCUCCUGGGAAAGGACCUUCUGAAACAGAUGCUCCUCCUUUCCAUGCUCCAUCCAUGACAAGUCAGGCAGAUGCCUCCAUGCCCCCCUGACACUGCUCUCACCAGUGGCAUCAGUGACCUCCACAUUGCCAAAUCCAGCCCACAAGUCAGGCCUUUUUUUGGACCUCUCAGAGGCACUGGGCUUGGCUCACCCCACAUUUGCUUUAGCCUCUGUAACGCCACACUCUCCCAGUGUUCUCCCGCCUCCCCGACUGCUGCCUUGGCCUCCUCUCUCUGUCUCUGUGCCUCAUCCAUUCACCAUUUGCUCCUCAGGCUUGUAAGCAGAGGUCAGAUCCUGGGUCCAGGACCCACCCAUCACUGUCAGUCACCACUAGGGCCCCAAUGAUCCCCCUGCCCCAGAGCUAAGACUCACCAUCCCACCUGCACAGAGACCUCCUAACACUGGGCUAGGGAGAGACACACAGUCUUCCAAAAACCAAAGAUCUUCCCUACAGGCCAGAGCAUGACCCCAAGCACUGUUAAGCUUUUACCCCCGUAGCUGCAGUUGGAAACACCCAGGACAGGACAGUCACGAUCCAAACCUGGCGAGAUGAGUCAUCCAAGGGGAGCCAGCAUUAGGUAAAAUGGACUUCCUGGACUUCCCUUCGUGGCACAUCUUUUUUCCUUAAUAUUAAUUGCCUUCUAACUUACCAUAUGAUCAACCCAUUUAUGGUGAUCGUGUAUGUCUGUGUUCAUAGUCUCCCUAUUAGAAUUUAAGCAACACAAGAACAGGAAUUACUGUUUUUUUCAUGGCUGGAUCCCCAGUACAUAGAACAAUACCCAGCUCAAUAGAAGUGCUUAAUAAAUAUUUGUUAAAUGAAAUCAAGAAAGGACUGGUACUCCACUGGAAAUGCCUGCCCAACCUACUGGGGGUCCUAAAGAUCCAAGGUCCAGCAUCCCCAUGCAGAGGCCUCCUCAGAACCCAGUGCCCCACCUCUGAAGAGUAUUCCCACUCCUAAGUCUCUGUUCGCUAACCCCAAAGCCUCAGCCUCCAUUCCUGAGCCCUAUGUGAGACCUACACCCCACAACCAUCAAGAGCCAGAAAUAAGGGCUGCCGCCUCUACUGGGAGCCACCAGGGAACCUGGGAGCCUCCUUUGGUGAGGACUUAAUCUGUCUUGAACCUCUGAUAAAGCACCUUGCCACCCUGACCAUGUGGCUCAGUUGAUUAAGCGUCAUCCUUCGAAGUGAAGGUCAAAGUUUCGACUCCUGGGCAGGGCACAUAUCUAGGUUGCAGGUUUGGUCCCAGGCUGGGAUGCAUAUGAGAGGCAACCAUCGACAUUUCUCUCCCUCUCUUUCUCCUUCCCAUCCUCUUGCUCUAAAAACUUAAUUAUUUUUAUAAAGCACCAGACCAACCACGGGAGCUGAACCAUACCCGUGGGGCAGCCCUGACUGGAAAGUGUUGGUGCACAAGUGCUGGGAAGAGGCCCCUUCUGAGAGGCCUGGAAGAGGGAAAAGAAUGGCAACCCUACUGGGGAAGCCCUCGGAGGGGUAGGAUUCUCCCUCAGAGGACAGCUGGGUCCCAGAGGCCCCCAUCUCGGGGGAGCCAGGUUCUUUUCGUGCCUUUCCUUUUAAUGUCCCAAUGCUCAGGCCUAUGGGUGCAACAUGCAAGCACAAAGUCCAGCCCCCUU
Long non-coding RNA from Artibeus jamaicensis (Jamaican fruit-eating bat), 2693 nucleotides. RefSeq lists it as uncharacterized. NCBI's taxonomy places the organism in Eukaryota, Metazoa, Chordata, Mammalia, Chiroptera, Phyllostomidae. The record is from RefSeq and is a predicted model, not a curated record. The transcript has 5 exons.